GCUGCCGGACGGGUGGUCGCUCCCGGCAACGGGAGAGGAAAGUCCGGUCUCCACAGGGCAGCGUGCCGGCUAACGGCCGGGGGGGCCGCAAGGCUCUACGGAAAGUGCCACAGAAAAUAUACCGCCUUGCCGCGAGGUGAGGUAAGGGUGAAAUGGUGCGGUAAGAGCGCACCGCGGCAGGAGUAAUUCUGCCGGCAGGGAAAACCCCACGCGGAGCAAGACCAAAUAGGGGAGGAGGGGCGGCCCGCCCCGCUCGACUUCCGGGUAGGUUGCUAGAGCCGGCCAGCAAUGGCCGGCCCAGAGGAAUGACCGCCGCCCGCAAGGGUACAGAAACCGGCUUACAGUCCGGCAGCCUCG
Molecule: RNase P RNA, 357 nt
Filed under: Terriglobia bacterium
Lineage: Bacteria; Pseudomonadati; Acidobacteriota; Terriglobia
Description: RNase P RNA component class A
Rfam family: Bacterial RNase P class A
About the family: Ribonuclease P (RNase P) is a ubiquitous endoribonuclease, found in archaea, bacteria and eukarya as well as chloroplasts and mitochondria. Its best characterised activity is the generation of mature 5'-ends of tRNAs by cleaving the 5'-leader elements of precursor-tRNAs.
Source: RNAcentral